GUUCAUGUAGCUUAAUUAACUAAAGCAAAGCACUGAAAAUGCUUAGAAGGAUUUUUAAUCCCAUAAACA
This 69-nucleotide transfer RNA is filed under the name Cricetulus griseus (Chinese hamster). It matches the Rfam family "tRNA". From Rfam's summary of the family: Transfer RNA (tRNA) molecules are approximately 80 nucleotides in length. Their secondary structure includes four short double-helical elements and three loops (D, anti-codon, and T loops). Further hydrogen bonds mediate the characteristic L-shaped molecular structure. tRNAs have two regions of fundamental functional importance: the anti-codon, which is responsible for specific mRNA codon recognition, and the 3' end, to which the tRNAs corresponding amino acid is attached (by aminoacyl-tRNA synthetases). tRNAs cope with the degeneracy of the genetic code in two manners: having more than one tRNA (with a specific anti-codon) for a particular amino acid; and 'wobble' base-pairing, i.e. permitting non-standard base-pairing at the 3rd anti-codon position. Lineage: Eukaryota; Metazoa; Chordata; Mammalia; Rodentia; Cricetidae. The record is from Rfam by way of RNAcentral.